UUUGAAAUGUAAGUUAAUUUUUUGUAUCUAAAAUUUAGAUAACAUUUGUAAAUACUGACUAAUUUAAAAUAGUAUAAAACAUUCCACUGCAUUUACUACUAUUAAUUCCAAGUUCAGGCUCAUCUGUAACCCUGAAAAUGUAACCAUACCGGGGCGUCAGACAUUUGCAAAUUUACUUAAGUAUCUCAAGAGGAAAUAUUCAGGAUUUAGGAUAAUGAUGUAUUCAAGCUCAAGUCAGACAAAAUGAAGACUGGAAAAUAACACUGGAUUCAAUGUUCAACAACAGUUAGGUGUGCAGACAUUGGCAGUUACCAACUUAUGUGAGAAGGAAAGCCAAUUUUCAUUAAAAAUAUAUUAUUUGGUACACUGACAAUACUUCCCCAGAAGAGCACAUCAUCUUAUGUCCAACAUCCAAGAGUAUGUGGCCAGCACAAAUUGAAAUCAAUUGGUUUAAGAUGAAAUGACUAAGGAUACGAAGUAGGGAGGAUAAAAAUGGGCGGGUGGGUGUGGGAGUAGUCAGGAGGAAAAGUUACUGACGAGCUGGAUAGUUCAGUGGGAACUUGUCACGUGAUAAGUCUUCAGAAAGGAAGGAUUCUCAACGGAGAAAGGCUUCCACAGUGCUGUAAGUUUGUAGAACAUUUUAUUAAGUAGAGAUUGAUCGGCAUGUUCAGGCCAUUGUGGGUGGGGUUGCCACUGAAUUGGUGGUACUGAGUACUGUGAGAAAGCAGGCUGGGUAAGCCACGAGGAGGAAGCACUCGCCUAUGACCCUUCAUCAUAGUCAGCCUCCAACUCCUUGCUUCUUGUGGGAGCUCUUGUCCUGACCUCCUUCAGUUAAGAACAGUGAUUUGAAAUUGCCAGCCAAACAAAUCUUUUUCUCUCCAACUUGCUUUUGGUCACAGUGUUUCUUGGCAGCGAUAGUGACCCUAUCUAGGACAAUAAUCGCCACCUAUCCCUAGACAUUCUCAAAGACAUAGUAAAUACAAAUACAACUUGGGAGUCCUGUGGAAAUGCACUUUUUUAUUCUUCUUUCUAUAGUUUGUAAAAUAUUAGAGGUGUUUAUUUUGGGGAGGAUAAUGGUUUAUGGAAAUGUACUCUUAUUAGGUUUUUAACAGCAAGAUAUCUUUUCUGAUGCCUAUUAUCUUAACCAGUUUUGGAAUUUUUUUCUAUUUUACUUUGCUUUGUAUCCGGUAUGCUUCAUUUUAUUACUAUUUCAGCAUUAAUGAUUAUUUAAUAGAGGUAUAAAGAUGCAUAUAUCUCUGUUUCUGUUUUUAAAAUUAUUUUUGUUUAGUUUGGACUUUCCUUUGAAUAUAUGACUUGUUAUUUAUUAUGACAAUUUACUACCUUUAAUCAUUAGCUCACACAAGGUUUUUCUCUUAGCAAUCACCCUGUCUGAAUCGGAAAGUGUGAGUUGAUCAAACGAAAGAGCUUUCAGAUAGGUUUUCCUUUUUAGGGACUGCUUUCUUUGUUCUACACUCCAGUCUUGAGAUUACAAAACUAUAUCUUCACAUUGAUUUGAAUUUUCUUCUACAUUUCUAGUAUGUCUUAUGCAUUAAAAUAUUUUAAUUAUUUCAUAUAUUGUUGUAGAUGUUUCAUAAAACUAAACUUCUAUGCUUGUUCUUUUCUUAUAUAUUUUUGUGUUGUUUUAUUUUAUUUUGUGUUUCCUUAAAUUACUGACUAGGCAUCUGCAGUUAAACCAGCUUUCCCCAAACUCAUUAGCUCUGCUCUUUAAUUGCUUCAUUCAAAUGAAAAAUUUAUUUUGCUAUGAUGCACAAUUGUCUGAUUUUUACAUGGUUAUUAGAUUUUAUGCAUGAUAAAUACUGUGGUGAUUAUAUAGCUGAAUGUCAAGACUAUUUGCUUCCUUUUGAUCUAGCAGGUCAUUGAAUUGUUUUAUUUAAUAAUAUGCUACCUUUCUGGGCUCAUCCUUGCAAAUCAAGUGCUAUAAUACUAUUUCCCCAUGAGUGAAAAAUGUUCCCUUUAAUACUUUUAAGUAAGUUUAUUCUGUGAUCAAUGGACUAUUUUAGAGUCAAUGCCCCAGUAUAUAUCUCUGUUACAUUUUACGUACUGACUUGGGUAUUUUGUAGUAUAUAUUCUACAGUAGGCCCAAUGCUUCAAAUUUUCUUUCCAAGACCAGAGGAAAAUUGUGGAUGCUUAAUCCCCAUUAAAAUAACAAAACACAUAUUGCAUUUUUAGCUAAGUAAACUUCUGGAGCACACUUUUUAAAUACAAAUCUCUGUGUUAUUUUCAGUAAAGGAGCUAGCCUGUUCAGGUGGCCAAUCAGUGAACAUUCCUUCUGGCAUACUUUUCUAGUGGAAUUAUGUCCGCCAUUUCCUUCUAAUAUUAUUUUUAGUUAUAUGCUUUCCAUUUAAAAGUAUCUUUGCUCCCUUGGUUGUAAGACAUAUUUAUUAAUAUUCUGUGUAGAUGGGUAAUCUUUCCUUCUCAACUAUACCACUUCAUUUGAGACUUUUAUACCCACAUGAAGUCUUAACGACUAAUACAGAAGGAUUGCUUGUGCUCUUUGGUGAGCUGGUCCCCAGUGGUGACAUCUUGCAAAACAACAAGGAUCUUAACAUUAAGAAGAUGUAAAUGCAACCAUUUCAAUCACUUGCAUUUCUCAUUUCGACUUUUAUGUCCAACUCAAUUUAUCCCUGUCUGCUCUUGUCUCUUAUCGUAGAAGCUUCUGGCUUGUUCUUUACUACAAUUUUGUCAAAUCAGUAAUAUUAGGUAAAUGAAAUUGGAGAGUACGUCAAUUUUACGGCUGAGGUUUUCUUUCAGUGUUCUGCUGUCCUAAGUGUUGCUACGAUUAGCAGGCAUUUUUCCCCUUUUAUUAUUUGCAUUGUUCAAGGUCCGAAUGUUAAACAUUACCUCACUAGAAAGCAUUUAGGCUGUUUCUUGAUUUGGUAAAUGAUAAAAUGCUUGUCAUUGCAUUAUGAUAAAAAUAUCUCUCACAUUCUAUGAGACAAAACUGAUGUUCAAUGUCAGAGACAGUGUUAAUAAUAUGCUUUGAGAUCACUUAGGACUCGGGACUGUUAUCCUACUGUGUUUUCAGCCUGUCUGUUUAGCCUACCUUUAAGAGACCAAUGUAACAACCAAUAUCACUGGCCUUGAAUUUGCUAUGUAAUCAUUCUUUUACAAUCUAAGCAAACGCACAGCUGCAAUUUGAAACUAUCUGUGUUCCUGAAUCAAGGGUAAUGCAUGCAUAUGUAUGUUAUGUGUGUUAGGAUAACCAUUACCUGAAAACAGCAAACAUGGUUUGAAAGCAAUCUUAUAUAAUGAAUAUUCACAUAAAUAUUGAACAUAGCACUGAGGGAGAAUAUUCAUAUUGACAAAAUCAGAAAUGAAAAGAGAGGCACAACAACAGAGGAAAUUCAGGAAUACUUUAAAUUCCUAUAAUGCAGAAAAUUUUAAAAAAGUGGAUUGUUUUCUUGAUAAAGAUAAACCAAAAUCAUAUAAACAACUUAAAUAUACUUAUAGCCUCUAAUGAAAUAGAAACAGUCAUUUAACCUACCCCUUCACCCAAAAACUUAGGGCUUAAUGAUUUUAACACUAUAUUCUAACACACAUUCAAAUAAGAGUUCAUGCUCAUACUAUUCAAACUAUUACACAAAUAGAAACAAAAGAAACAUUGCCCAAAGCCGUUUUGUGAGGCCACAGUUACCCCAACACCCAACUACAUAAACAUUCAACAAAGAAAGAGAAUCACAGACCAUUUUACCUUAUAACAUUUCUUUCCCGUUCGUUCCUUUCCAUGCUGCUCAAUAAAACAAACAGCAUAGCCUUUUGUCAGAGGCAGACACUCAGACAUAGACUGACAGACACAGCAAAAGAUUCAUAAGAUAGCGUCCAGGAAUGUUCAGAUCCAGACACAGACCAUCAGAAUGAAUGAAUGAACAAACUAGGAUCCCUUUUACGAUAUUCAGGAGGAGAGCUAUAAGGUUCAUCUUUAAUAACUACAUUAACACAAUAUUAGUAAGUUAACAUUUAUUAUUAAUGCACUCGAACUGAUAUGGAAAUAAAGAGACCAUAUGUACUUGAUACAGAGUCAAUGCGAAAAAAAGUUUAAUUUGAUUUAUCAUGUCUUAGUUUAUCUCCAUAAUGUAGUCUGAACAUUUUACCUCUUUCCAAGUUCUACCUGGAAGACCACAAGGGGAAAUUCUGAAAAUUGGGAGCUCUCAAGGAAGACAAAAGAAGAAAAUUUUGAGACUGCAUGAUUGGUACACAUUUGUUUUUAUAAGGAGGCACAAAAUGUUUUCAGAACAUUUUAACUAUGUAGAAUUACCAGAUGCAAUUCAGGAGUGAUAUUAUUUUUAUGUGUUCUUGCAAGCAUUUAGUAUUCCCCAUACCUCUUUAGUGCAACUUCUUUUAUAUGUGUACAGAAUUAUCUCCUGGAGAUGAAACUGCUCUUCCCUAACUUCUAAUGAUUUUGAAUAUAUUUACAUGAUUAUGAUAUGUCUUUUUAUAGCUUUUUCCAGUUUCUGAAUUGGAUUGAUUAUUUCUUUAAUUGAAGAACUUUGGCUCCUUUUUUCUACAUUUUGACAGUCUAUGUGAACUGUACAAAAUAAAUUGUCUUUUAUUCUAUUACUUCUCAAUUCAUGUUUUAUUUAAAUUGUUUUACUUUAUUUAUGAAUAUGUGUAUGAUUUUAUGUUAAUAUAUACCAUGUAUGUGCAAGGUGAGUGGAUUCCAGAAAAAGCUUUCUUAUCCUCUGCAGCUAGAAUUAUAGGAGUGCUUGGACCAACUCCCAAACUCAGGACGUCUGAAAUAGUAGCAAGUGCUUGUAAGUACUAAGUCAUUCCUCCAGCCAUCAGUUCAUAUUUUAACAGUACUUUUUUAAAUCAAAGCUUUUUUGCUUCAGUGAAACAAAGUUUAUCACUUUUCUUUUGUAAGCCAUUUUUUUUUUCUUUUUGGUACAUUAAUAAGAAAACACUAAGAAAGGUUUUUACUUUUACCCAGAUAUUCUAAAAUUCUCUAAAGAUUUUUAUUGUUUAACUUUUGACAUUUAACUUUGUUAAUGUUCAUUAUUCUUUGCACAAAAUAUGAAAAAUAUAUCAAAGUAUCUUGUUUGUUUGACAAGUUGUUUGAGUUAUUAUUUAUAAUUACACGGUGAAUGCGCAUUUACUCUGAGGCUGUUGUCAAAGGUUUAUCUCCCGUUUAUUACAGUUCUCUUGUUUCAUUGUGAACAUUUUGCUGGGCCUCAUUGUGUGCAUUUGCUGUUGAUAGGUAUCAUGCUCUGUUAGUUACAUGUCUUUUCAUCAAGGGGAUACAAUGUAAAAUAUUGUCUAAAUACACGAUACAAUUUUAAAUAUAAUAAAAUAGUCAUUCCCAAUUAUUAUAAUUAAAAUAUUAUAUACUGUUUUGUUUUUAGUCUUGUCAUAAAAAUUCAGAAUAUUUUUCAUUCUUCUAGACUCUCAUCUGUAUGUGUAAACUACAUGAUUUAUUUUAUUAAUUGACAGAAUUAUAGAACCCUUAUUCUAUGUUCAUCAUCACCCAGAUAUGAAACAUAAGCUACAUAUAAAGUACAUAAGGAACAUUCAACUAGGCAUUUUUUAUGGAACACAAAGUUUAGUUUCUGCUAUAUAAAAGUACUCUCCGAAGUUUCUUCAAAUAAUUUAAUUAAUUUUCUAACCCAUUAUAAAGUUACUCUUUAAUUUCAACUGGAAUUACUCUUUAUUUCAAAGAUUUAAUUUUCCUAUUGUGAUGGUUCAUAAUGAUAAAAAAUAAAUUAUAGAAAUUUAGAGAGCACACUGGCAAUUAGUGAUUUAAAAAAAUUAUCCACUGGAUAAAAGUGACCGGAAUGUACAGAGUAGCUCAAUCAUUUCCUUUGUAGAAUUAUUCACAUAAUUUCUCUUUUAUAUUCAAAAUCAACCAAAAUGUAUUGCUUUUAAAAAUACAAGUUAUUUUGUCUGAGUAGGAGUUUUUGCAAUAAUAAAGAUACUUUUCUUUGUGUUCCUCACAAUAUAACCUGAAAAACAUACAAUUUUUAGAGGAUUUGAAAGCAAUAAAAAGUAUAAGAAUUUUUAUGACUUGAGGCUCAAAGAAAAAACAAGGACAAAAAUGCUGACAGACCACUGAAGAAUGAGACAUGGCUUAUAAUGAAUGAAAAACAUAAAUAUUUUGAGGGAUUUUUAUUAUUAUUUACAUUUAAUUAACAUGAAACCUAUUUAGAAACACUGUCAUUGGCUUUCUCUCCUACAUAAAAUAGUGAACCACUGGUGUAUUAAAAAUCUAACAUUAUUAGAAGUACUUUUGACAUGUGUAACGUAGAAGUUUAUCCUACCAAAGAACAUGAAUAAGUUUGCAUUCUUCUAUGUUCUGGAGUCAUAGACCUUCACCUAUCAAUGUGCACCGGCAGUAUUUAUAUAGAGAAAAUAAAGUAAGACAGGAAAAGCCUUGACUUACUCCUGCUGAACCUUGGCGAUCUUUGUACGUACCAUUGCUAACAAAACACUAGCGUCCUUGGGUAGUGUUAGUUCAAAGUGAUUGUCUGAAAAUCCCGUUCUAUGAUUGUGACUCAUUGACUAGCUGAGAACAUAUGCAUAUUGUUCAUAUUUGUUUUUAUAAGAAAUUACAGUUAACUGCAUAUGGACACAAGAAAUAGGAAAAAAACCCAUUGUAUGCCAAAGGUUUAAUGUGUAUUAACCAUGAAAGCUAAAUAUUAAGGGUGAUAAAGGAAAAUAUGGCAGGAUUCCCAGAUAAAAUUUGAAUUUCAGUACAUAAAAGUUAAAACACAGAGACCAAUAAGCCAUGUAAUUUUUUAGCCAGAUGCCUUUAGAUUUUCUGUCAAUAUGCCUAAGUUCAAUAACACAAAUGACAGGUCAUUCUGGUGAGGAUUUGGAGCAAGGGAAAUGAAUAUUCCUCCAUUGGUAUUAAGUGUGAAAACUUUAACACCCACUUUGUAAUCAAUUUGGCAAUUCAUAGAAAGCUGACCUCAAUUGACCUCUAGAUUCAGAUAUACCACUCUUGGGCAUAUAACUAUUCGAUAGCACGGAUUCUCACUCACCCAUUAUCUCUUAGGAUUUAUUCAUAUUAGCCAGAAAGAGUAAAUGGUCUACAUGUUCCUCAGCAGACAUAUGGAUAAACAAAGUGCCUGCAUUUAUACAAUUGAGUCGAAUUCAGCUUUUACAAAAAUGUACCCUAUAAAAUUUGUAGGCAAAUCUAUGGAACUAAAAAAGAAAAUAAGGUGAGUGAUCGCAGUGCUUUAUCCUAUCUUUCUCAAUAGCUUCCAACUAUGAUACCUGAAACAAGGAGUCAGAGACAAAAAGAAUAGCCAUGAUUCUGAAACCAGAGAGAGAGGGAGAUGCAUUGAGUUCCAGAACAACAUAAGCUACAGAGACAAACCUAAGAAACUCAGAAGGAAGGAAGAUCUCCAGAGGGAGCACAAUAUGGGCAAGAGAGUAGCAGGAAAUGCUAAAAGAGGGGGUGAAUGUAUCCAGUCUCAUCUUCUGCCCCUCUGGUAAUUGCUUAUAAAGGCAGGACCCACUUUACAUGCAUCCACCGGAUGAAAUGAAGGCCACUGCUUCUGGAAAGUUCACUGUGUAGUCACAGUGUAAGGUUGCUGGGUCAAGCUGGUCAAAGAAUCAAAGGCUACAAAAGAGGGAGGAAAGCAGAGAAGAUGUAUUUUAGUUCAACUUGGCCCCCUCCCUCCAAGUCCCUUAGACCAGAAAUUCAGUCUUGAAAUUCAUAAUCCCCUACAAGGUGCAUUUAAUGUACUCAGUACUGCCCUUCAGCAGUCACAAAGGAGUGCUUUAACCUCUUCCUUAGGUCACGGGCAGAUGUUGACAACUCACAACUCAGAUCAACUAAAUCAGUUUCUUCAUCUGAGUUGCCACAAAUUAGAUGCCCCUCUCCUUCCUGCCCAAUGUGUGCUGAUGGGAUAGAUUCUCUUGCAAUGUGACAUAUCAUGUGUACUUUAUAACCAGCUUCAUCACUGAACCUUAUAAGAAGCACUGCCACCAUCUCCUAGGCUGGAGUCAUGGGAAGAGGGUCUGCCAUGCCAAGAUUACAUCCUUGUAUCAGUGCACACCUCAGCCUUAACAACUACUAUUGGUCUCUUGGGAUCUUCUACAACCAAUCAUAUCUUUUAGCUCAGAAUCUGACCUUCCCAUUGGCUACUACCUGAUUUAUGACAUCAUUAUCCCUCCCACCCUACUUGUCCUUGGUAGAAUCCUGAGGUUUCCUUGGUGCUGCCAGCGAACAAAUACAAAUUUGAAUCACUACAAGUAACCUGAGUCCAGUGAGCAGGACAGGAUGUUUAACCUGCUCCACUGUAAUAUGGAUUACUGUUACUUUCCCUUGACCCUGCCUCGACCAUGUCAGCUUUAGGAAUUUGGAAGCAUUAAUCUCUUCUAUUCACAUCAGCUUACCUGAAUGGCCUUCAAAAGAAGUACUUAUAUAAAGCAUGCAGGUACAGAAGGAUAAAACAUAUGACUGAGGACUAGAGGCAGGAGAUUUGACUGGAACAGAAGUCAAAGGGCUCACAUCUUGAACAAAAGGAACGAAACAGAAAGAGUGAACUAGAAAUGAGACAUACCUGAAAGGAAUGUAAGAAGGCUAUCGCCACACAAUUGGCAACCAAAGCACAAAAUCUAGAACCAGAACAAAAUAAAUCUAGGCUUAUGGAGGUCAUUUGGCAUUGCAAUUAAGUAGGUGGACUUUAUUUAUUGUUUGAAUUUGCUGUGGAAAGAACUUCCAGGACAUUUGGAAUUUGCAGCACAAGCAAUGUUAUGUUCUUCAACGUUCAGUGCUAACCAGUAAUGGACUCACACUUUCAGUUCCUCUGAUUGAUUUUCUCUCAGUAUUUGACUAUGCUCCAUUAAAAGAUUUUCUUUAUGCCCCGAUGUUUGAGCACUGAAGAUGGAAAACUUACCUGAACUUUAUAGCGACUGCCAGUAUAAUAUGCAUGGCAAUUGCCAGCCUGAAGGAGCUAACAUGGAGGGGAAAUAGAAUAAAGAUUCAAACAACUGUUAUGUUUCAAUGGUAAAGAAACAUCUCCCUCAUGCGUCUGAUGCCGUGAAAUUCUUCCCAACUACAUGUAGGCAAGCAACAACAAAAGGAGCUCUCUAUAACGAUGACUGUUACCCUUCCUUUAUUCCUUUUCUGAUUUUUGCUUGGAGAUUUUAGCACAAGAAGAGAAGAAACGGCUAUAGCUCUCUCUAGUGAUUCUGGCUAUUGGUAGAAUUUGACAAAUGGAAGUCCCACUGUCUUAAUGGUACAUAAACAUCUGAGCCCACCAAGCUUCAACAGAGAGCCCUAAAAGCACAGUCAUCAUGGUAGUCCAUGGGAAGAUCUACCUCACUGCUACUCUCUGCCAUAUCCACUUCCUUUCUGUCUCCCUUCAUUAAAAAAGCGGGCCACCAAACUCGACAAAACAAAAUAAAAUCAGCAAGACAAAAUCUCUCAUAUUGUGGCUGGGCAAGGCAAUCCAAUAGAGGAAAAGGGUCCCAAGUGUGAGGAAAAAAAAUCAGAGACAGACCAGCUUUCGGAGGUCUCACAAAAUCACCAUGCUAACAGAAGGACCAUAAGGAUGUCAGCAAGCCUGUCUUCACCAAGCACGUGAUUUUGUGAUGAAAACCUGAGAACAAAAUAUGAAAUAUAUCUCAUUUUGGAGAGAGACAAUAAAGUUAUCUCUCUUUCUAAUGCACUCUUCCAUCACGAUCACUCUAAAGCAUUACUUGGUCGUUGCCUUAACUCCCACAUGAGACAUGCUAAUCUAGCUUGUGUAGGUGAAUGAGUAUAAACAGGCUACAGGGCGUUCAUUUACCAGCUGUGUGUACUUGGUUCUCUGAACACAUACAGUGCCUGACUCCCGAGAUCGUGAAAAUAAGUUAAGUGCCCAGCAGAGAGCCUGCCAGAGGAAGAGACUGGUUAUUAGUGACUAUCAGUGGUGAGGGAGACAUUGAUUGUCUUCAGCUCAGCUCUUAGCUUUACCUCCUUAAAAUAAAAGCAGAGAAUGAAUGAUUUUUUUAAGUCAGGGUGGAACUUGAAGAAAGUAGCUGUCUGGACCAAAAUUGUGUAUUCUGUUCUUUGAUGUCCUCAUCAUAUUAACCCAUACUUUCCAUCACGUGUAGAUCUAUUUGAGGAUUUAGAAAGGC
RNAcentral lists this small RNA (10086 nucleotides) under Rattus norvegicus (Norway rat). RNAcentral describes it as "uncharacterized LOC102547440". The record is from RNAcentral. Lineage: Eukaryota; Metazoa; Chordata; Mammalia; Rodentia; Muridae.